UGAAUGGGCCCCUGAAAAAAUGCUGUCUUAUGGAGACUCCUUGAAAUUAAUUAUAAAGUGCAAAUGCUUACAUAUAAAUAUUAGACGAGAAGACCCUAGAAAUUUUUUAGAUGAAAAAUACAACUUAUUUUGUUGGGGCGACAAGGUAACAAUUAACUUACCAUAACAUACUGGAAUUCUGUAUAAUGUAAGAGUAAAUUACUCUAGGGAUAACAGCAUAAUAUAUAAAAGUUUGUGACCUCGAUGUUGGACUAGGAAAUACUACAUCUAGAAGAUGUAUGUAUUGGCUCUGUUCGAGCUAAAUUUCCUACAUGAUCUGAGUUCAAACCGGAGCUCCA
This 338-nucleotide ribosomal RNA is filed under the name Pseudotrichia rubiginosa. RNAcentral describes it as "partial 16S ribosomal RNA". The record is from RNAcentral. Lineage: Eukaryota; Metazoa; Mollusca; Gastropoda; Stylommatophora; Hygromiidae.